Molecule: long non-coding RNA, 211 nt
Filed under: Malus domestica (apple)
Lineage: Eukaryota; Viridiplantae; Streptophyta; Magnoliopsida; Rosales; Rosaceae
Description: long non-coding RNA (MDOM_LNC011870)
Source: RNAcentral
UUUGCUCUUUGGUUAUGUUGCAGUUCCUUAUUUGUUCUCCAAGCAGAUGUGGCAGCUUCUCUAGUUCCUCAGUUCGGACUCCUUCCGCUGGGAUGAUUGUGCAAGCUGCAUUCUUCUCUGCUUGUUUCCUCUGCAUGGCGGGCAGGCACGAGGGAAAGGUGUUGGUCCUUAUUUCUUUCUUCAAUCUUUCCAAGUGCCCACCUCUUGCUUU